This 427-nucleotide ribosomal RNA is filed under the name uncultured bacterium. Its description in RNAcentral is "bacterial SSU rRNA". It matches the Rfam family "Bacterial small subunit ribosomal RNA", at positions 355 to 774 of the family's 1533-position model. The record is from RNAcentral.
UAGGGAAUAUUGGACAAUGGGGGCAACCCUGAUCCAGCCAUGCCGCGUGAGUGAAGAAGGCCCUCGGGUUGUAAAGCUCUUUUGUCCGGAAAGAAAGGCAUUCGGUGAAUACCCGGAUGUUCUGACGGUACCGGAAGAAUAAGCACCGGCUAACUUCGUGCCAGCAGCCGCGGUAAUACGAAGGGUGCAAGCGUUACUCGGAAUUACUGGGCGUAAAGCGUGCGUAGGUGGUUGUUUAAGUCUGAUGUGAAAGCCCUGGGCUCAACCUGGGUAUGGCAUGGGAAACUGGGCAGCUAGAGUGGGGUAAAGGGUAGUGGAAUUCCCGGUGUAGAAGUGAAAUGCGUAGAGAUCGGGAGGAACAUCUGUGGCGAAGGCGACUGCCUGGGCCAGAACUGACACUGAGGCACGAAAGCGUGGGGAGCAAACA